CCUUCGGGCAGAUGACCUGUAUUCUUAGUGGCGGACGGGUGAGUAACACGUGAGCAACCUGCCUUCAAGAGGGGGAUAGCACCUGGAAACGGGUGGUAAUACCGCAUAAGACCACGGUGUCGCAUGGCACAGAGGUCAAAGGAGCAAUCCGCUUGAAGAUGGGCUCGCGUCCGAUUAGAUAGUUGGUGAGGUAACGGCUCACCAAGUCGACGAUCGGUAGCCGGACUGAGAGGUUGAACGGCCACAUUGGGACUGAGAUACGGCCCAGACUCC
RNAcentral lists this ribosomal RNA (273 nucleotides) under uncultured Eubacteriales bacterium. RNAcentral describes it as "uncultured Clostridiales bacterium partial 16S ribosomal RNA". It matches the Rfam family "Bacterial small subunit ribosomal RNA", at positions 77 to 339 of the family's 1533-position model. Lineage: Bacteria; Bacillati; Bacillota; Clostridia; Eubacteriales. The record is from RNAcentral.